CAGUAGCCGCGGUAAUACGGAGGGCGCGAGCGUUACCCGGAUUUACUGGGCGUAAAGGGCGUGUAGGCGGCCUGGGGCGUCCCAUGUGAAAGGCCACGGCUCAACCGUGGAGGAGCGUGGGAUACGCUCAGGCUAGAGGGUGGGAGAGGGUGGUGGAAUUCCCGGAGUAGCGGUGAAAUGCGCAGAUACCGGGAGGAACGCCGAUGGCGAAGGCAGCCACCUGGUCCACUUCUGACGCUGAGGCGCGAAAGCGUGGGGAGCAAACCGGAUUAGUACCCCCGUAGUCCCUGUCUCUUAUACA
This 301-nucleotide ribosomal RNA is filed under the name uncultured bacterium. RNAcentral's name for it is "partial 16S ribosomal RNA". It matches the Rfam family "Bacterial small subunit ribosomal RNA", at positions 509 to 808 of the family's 1533-position model. The record is from RNAcentral.